This 463-nucleotide ribosomal RNA is filed under the name uncultured Desulfobulbus sp. RNAcentral describes it as "bacterial SSU rRNA". It matches the Rfam family "Bacterial small subunit ribosomal RNA", at positions 924 to 1382 of the family's 1533-position model. Lineage: Bacteria; Pseudomonadati; Thermodesulfobacteriota; Desulfobulbia; Desulfobulbales; Desulfobulbaceae. The record is from RNAcentral.
CACAAGCGGUGGAGUAUGUGGUUUAAUUCGAUGCAACGCGAAGAACCUUACCUGGUCUUGACAUCCCGGAGACCCUUAGGAAACUAGGGGUGCUUCCAUCUGGAAGAAUCUGGAGACAGGUGCUGCAUGGCUGUCGUCAGCUCGUGUCGUGAGAUGUUGGGUUAAGUCCCGCAACGAGUGCAACCCUUGCCUUUAGUUGCCAGCAGUUCGGCUGGGCACUCUAAAGGGACUGCCGGUGUUAAACCGGAGGAAGGUGGGGAUGACGUCAAGUCCUCAUGGCCUUUAUGACCAGGGCUACACACGUACUACAAUGGCCGAUACAAAGGGCAGCGACACUGCGAGGUGAAGCCAAUCCCGUAAAAUCGGUCUCAGUCCGGAUUGGAGUCUGCAACUCGACUCCAUGAAGUUGGAAUCGCUAGUAAUCGUGGAUCAGCAUGCCACGGUGAAUACGUUCCCGGGCCUU